Molecule: ribosomal RNA, 502 nt
Filed under: uncultured bacterium
Lineage: Bacteria
Description: bacterial SSU rRNA
Rfam family: Bacterial small subunit ribosomal RNA
Source: RNAcentral
AGUUUGAUCAUGGGCUCAGAGUGAACGCUGGCGGAAUGCUUUACACAUGCAAGUCGAACGGUAGAGGGGGCAACCCCUUGAGAGUGGCGAACGGGUGAGUAAUAUAUCGGAACGUGCCCAGUCGUGGGGGAUAACGUAGCGAAAGUUACGCUAAUACCGCAUACGAUCUAAGGAUGGAAAGCGGGGGACUCGCAAGAGCCUCGCGCGAUUGGAGCGGCCGAUAUCAGAUUAGGUAGUUGGUGGGGUAAAGGCUCACCAAGCCAACGAUCUGUAGCUGGUCUGAGAGGACGACCAGCCACACUGGAACUGAGACACGGUCCAGACUCCUACGGGAGGCAGCAGUGGGGAAUUUUGGACAAUGGACGCAAGUCUGAUCCAGCCAUUCCGCGUGCAGGAUGAAGGCCCUCGGGUUGUAAACUGCUUUUGUACGGAACGAAAAGGUCUCUCUUAAUACGGGAGGCUCAUGACGGUACCGUAAGAAUAAGCACCGGCUAACUACGUG